GUGGAAUCUGAAAAUUAAUAGCUAUAACAAAAGUAAAAUCUACGAAAAAUGUGUUUCACUUACCUGAAAUUCGAUUUAAAAUAAAGGCACACUUUCACUUGUCCGAUUUUAAAACUUUAAGGAGUCUGCCCACUACACCGUAUCAUACCAUGACCGUGCUAUGAACGUAUCAAGCACGGAAGGCAAUACGAUACGGCUUGUUAUGCCCACUGAAACGAAUCGACGGCGUUUAAUGCCCGUAUGAUGCCGGUUUGGUGUCCGAAUGUUCGAUGAGGAAGAAGAAGAGAAUCAAAAACCCACUCGACGCUACUGGAUUCACGAGACUAUAAAAAAACGGAAAACUGAAGAAUAUCGGACGUUGUACAGGCACUUAGUUGAAGAUGAAGAAAAGUUUUUUCGGUAUUUCCGAAUGUCUACAUAUCAAUUGCUGCAAAAAAUUGCUUCAGAGAAUCUCUGUCACCUAAAAAAAAGCUUGCCGUGUGUUUACGACCGAUUAUUCCAAUCGUUGCCAGCCGUAUUCCAAGGAGACGUAGAUAUAGGUGUAGCACUUGUUCGAACGCUUGAAGAGCUCGAUGCUGGAGAUGGGGUGUCCGUAUAUUGAGGUGUAGUUGUAAUAAACCCAGGUGGCGCGAGCUGCUGUAACUCCAUUUCAGAAACGAAACUGAAUGUCUUAUUUUUUGCUACUGCUUGUAGGUAAGGCGAAAAUUUUUUUACUGUUGCUGAUAUACUCAAAAAGAAACGAUCGAGUUCGUCGUGGUCACACUGUCGCGAAACAUUCAUUUGCUCGUCUAAUAAUCUAGACAUCAAAACAGCGGAUGCUGACUGUUUCGGUUGAACUUUCGCCUUCUUUAUUGCCUUUUUUACUUCACUCUGUUAUAUAUUAUGUAUCGUGAGGGUUCUGGACUUCAGUAACCUCUUAUUGAGACUCUUCAUCGUCACUCGACAGGUCAACGCUAUCUAAAGUUUUUUUUGCGACCAAAAAUGAAGCCACAAAAGACAUCUCGUCCUCAUAUUCCCAUUUCUCAAUUUUCUUGGCUGCCCGUCCGCUACUUUUGCCUUUUUUCUUAUUUAUUGCUAUUCUAUAUGCAUCUCUUAGCCCUUGCCAUCUUUGUUCACAAGCUGCAGCUGUAAAAAAACGUAAUAUACAUUUUAAAAAACAUAAUUGUGAUACUGACGCACUGCUCCUAAAGUUGAACUAUACCCUAACCCAACACAAAAAAAAUAUUUGCAAUCGGACUUAUAGUUUCGGAAAAUCGAUGGACAAACUGGGGAUAAUGCAGUUUCUACCGCUUUUGAAGUACGCGAUCAAUUUGCGGAUUUCUUUCAAACAACUGAAGGCCAAUUGGACUGGAUAACCAUGUAAUCGAAUUGCUUAUUCAAAUAAAUAAUAAUUUAAUAAA
Molecule: long non-coding RNA, 1400 nt
Organism: Diorhabda carinulata
Lineage: Eukaryota; Metazoa; Arthropoda; Insecta; Coleoptera; Chrysomelidae
Exons: 2
Source: RefSeq, a predicted model, not a curated record